This 1467-nucleotide long non-coding RNA is filed under the name Chrysolophus pictus (golden pheasant). RNAcentral describes it as "lncRNA (ENSCPIG00010008682.1)". The record is from RNAcentral. Lineage: Eukaryota; Metazoa; Chordata; Aves; Galliformes; Phasianidae.
AGCGCGGCCGUCCUGCAGCCCGGAGGUUGGGUGGUGAUUGCGCCCAGCGGGGCACCUGUCCUCCGUGAUGAGGGAAGAAAUAUCCUGAGGUCUGUCUCUUCAUCACACUGUUACUGCAGAGGCUAGAUCUUGCAUAUUUUUCUCCCCUAAGUAAGAAAACUUGGCUUGCAGCAUUCAUAUCUUUCACUCCUUUUUGUUCUGGGUCGUAUUGCGUGUGUAAUUUUGGGUAUUUGCACUGGUUACAGCUGGGAAGCAUGUUUGAUUUACAACCCUCUACUUAGAUGUGUGUGCGUGUGAUUAAUUUUGCUUGCUCCCAGAUCAGAGAUGAUUUUAAGGCAGAUCCAUUUGUGUAUUUACACCCAGGAACUUACAGUGGAGAUCUGCAUUAGGAUCUUUUACAGCUAACAAUUGGUUAAUUCCUUGUUCAGUUGUUCAAGUUCAAGUUGGAACAGCUGCCCAGAGGGGCUGUGGAUGCCCCUUCCAUCCCUGGAGGUGUUCAAGGCCAGGUUGGAUGGGACCAUGGGCAGCCUUUUCUGUUAUUAAAUGUGGCAGAGGGGUUGGAGCUUCACGAUCCUUGAGGUCCCUUCCAACCCGGGCCAUUCUGUGUGAUUCUGUGUGAUUCAUGGCUGGCAUGUUGUUAGUUUGCAGUGAGAAAUAAUCACUUUCCUAACCACAAACCAACCAAAUGAGGAACGCUCUGUUGGACAGCAGGCAGUGUUCUGAUCUUCACAUGCAUUUGCAUCCAAAAAAAGUAGUGCAGCAAUACCAGCCAUCCUCUUACUGGACUAAAUCAUUGUCUGCAAGGUCUGCUCUGACCCUUCCCACCUGCCUGCUCUUGGGCAUACCCUGCACUGCUGCCUUCUGCGUGGAGAAUCAGAACAGGAUGCUUUCCAUGCCAUGCACAGCCCAGGACCCAGCAGGAGCUCUACCACCUGCCCGGCUCUUCUUCACACAUCUCCCAGGCACUAAGUGGGAAGAACUGGAGGUAACACAUUAAAUGAAGCGUCUCAUAUGUAUAUUUCAGUUUGAUCUAAAAAGGGAAUUGAAGUCUGUUGUCUGAUGCUGUUGCUUAACAAAGUGUGUUGUUGGAGGCUAAGGAUAAGCUGUGUUGCACCCAGACUUGGAUACUCAGCUCGUUACCAUUCGUUUGCAAAGCUCCUAACAGGAGGUUGGCUGUGUGUCUGAAAGCUGUGCUGCUAAAGGUAGUUCUGGGUGUAAAUGACAUUGACAGUACACAGAACUGUGAGGACUUCCUCCUCUUGUUUUGGAUAUGACGUAAAACAACGUUUUAAGGAUUCUGUAUGCCUUUCCUGCAUCGAACAACGCCUUGGUUUGCAGCUGACAGAUGCGAAUGUCCAUCAGAUGAGGUGGACGUUUGGGCUGACGCAAACUUCAGUUUUCACAAGCAGGACAGAUGGAAAGUUCUCCUAUUUGCAGAUCUGAGAGUUCUCUGUGUAUAGUAUGUUA